This is a long non-coding RNA of Engraulis encrasicolus (European anchovy), 538 nucleotides long. RefSeq lists it as uncharacterized. NCBI's taxonomy places the organism in Eukaryota, Metazoa, Chordata, Actinopteri, Clupeiformes, Engraulidae. The transcript has 3 exons. The record is from RefSeq and is a predicted model, not a curated record.
CCAAUUUCCCUCUGAUCUCACAGUAGUGGGAGACUCUGACGACUGCCAUGUUGUGCUUUCUCCCUGCAGUGAAGAUAUACAGUGGGGCUACCUUGGAGAGAUGAAAGGAGGGAACCAUACGCACUCAGGGUAUUGUACAUCAGUGAGUGGAAUGAUGUGUGUAUCAGUGAUAUACUGUCGCCUCAGCUCACCUGCAUAUCAUUUAAGAGUGAACAGACUGUAGCAAAAACAACUAUCAUCAUCAUCAUCAUCAUCAAAAAAACACCAACACACUGGCUUUAUUUCCAGCAUACUCUGGUGGAUAUUGUCAGGCCCGUGCUAGCACACACAAAGCAGAUGAAAAGAUACCAAAACACUGUUUAUUAAUACUUUUAAGGCCAUUCGUCCAUUAGCUUUUCAGGUCUAAAUACUGUCACCACCUCCCUCCAUCCCCACCUCCCUUAGAGCCAGGGGAGAUUUAUGAACUGUUGUUUGCUUUAUGACCUGAAUAAAAUAAAUUGAACAACAUUAAACUCAUUACCAUGUAGACUGACAUGCA